AACAGAUGAGGGAGCCAUUUUUCUGCAAUGGAAUUAAAUGGCCAAGUGGGUUUUUCCUUUGUUGCAAAUGGGGAAUGCUUUUCCUUUGACUCCACCAUCCAGUUCAGGACGCCUGAAUGUGUUUAACAUUUGCCAAAGGACUCACACUUGGAAGAAUGAAGAAGACCUUUUAAAAAGAUCUGGAUUUUUCCUUAUGACUUGGAAUCCAUCUUUGUCUUGUAUAACUAGGUCAUAGCACACUAUUAAUGUCAGCAGUUAACAGUUUUGAAUUCAAAAAAACCUAAAGCACUAAACAGCCCUCAGCGAAGCCGCCUUUAUGCCAGCCAAACCCUGGAAAGUUUGCAGUCGUGGAAGGAGCAGAAAUACCACGAGUGUAACUUACAAAGAAGGUCUUGGCUGGAGACCGGAGCCAU
This 413-nucleotide long non-coding RNA is filed under the name Mus caroli (Ryukyu mouse). RNAcentral's name for it is "lncRNA (MGP_CAROLIEiJ_G0006189.1)". Lineage: Eukaryota; Metazoa; Chordata; Mammalia; Rodentia; Muridae. The record is from RNAcentral.